This 3085-nucleotide long non-coding RNA is filed under the name Taeniopygia guttata (zebra finch). Its description in RNAcentral is "lncRNA (ENSTGUG00000022472.1)". The record is from RNAcentral. Lineage: Eukaryota; Metazoa; Chordata; Aves; Passeriformes; Estrildidae.
CCGGCAGCGCUCCGUGCCCGCCGCCCGCCUGAGCCUCCCGGGGCCGGCCCGGCCCGGCCCGGGGCCGCCCGCCCUGCUCGGCCGCCGGGACUCCAUCGACAGCAGCUGCCCAAGGUUUGUCCGUGUGGCAGCGGGGCCAGCCGCGACCGCCGAGGGAUCCUCCGCUGCGAGUGCCCGAGGAGAGGCCGGUUCGGGCCCGGAGGGUCCCGGGGUGGCGAUGGGAGCGCUGGUCUGAGCUCCGCCGGGCACCCCCGGGUGCGGAGCCGAAACCGCAUUCCCCAGCUGAGGAUAAACCAGAGGUGAUCCGGUUCCGUCCCACGGGAGCGCUCCUGACAGGCUCGGUGCCUCGGAGGGGCGAGGAUGGCUCAGGAGACGAACCAGACACAGGUGCCUCUGCUGUGUACCACGGGCUGCGGGUUCUAUGGCAGCCCCCGGACCAACGGCAUGUGCUCCGUGUGCUACAAGGAGUUCUUGCAGAGGCAGCAGAGCAGUGACCGGAUAAGCCCUCCAGCACCCAGCGGUCCCAGCAGCAGCCCCAUGGCUUCCGAGGCCAUCGCAGGACAGUGCGCGGAGGGAGACUCCACACCUGAGGAUGCAAAAGCCAGCGCUCAGACUCCUGUGACCCAUCAGAUGACGGCCAUGAGCAUAUCCAGAGAGGAAACCAGCAAUGAAACAGAGGAAUUCAGCAAGACAGAUGAAGCCUCAUCAGCUUCUUCCUCAUCAGGUACCCUGCUUGAGAUAUCCCAGAACACGGCUGAGGGCAAGACGGCUUCGGAAAAACCGAAACCGAAGAAGAAUCGCUGCUUCACCUGCCGGAAGAAGAUUGGACUGACUGGCUUCGACUGCCGCUGCGGGAACCUGUUCUGUGCCAUUCACCGGUACUCCGACAUGCACGCCUGCCCCUACGACUACAAGGCAGAAGCUGCCGAGAAGAUCCGCAAGGAAAACCCCAUCGUUAUCGCCGAGAAGAUCCAGAAGUUGUGAAGGGGUCCGAGCAGCUCGAACUGCAGCCAGCCCGCCUGGUGCUCCUCCCCUUCCUCCCGGCCUUCCUCCUCCUCCUCCCAGCCCCUGCGCGGUGCGAGGGUGGCUCCAGCAGCGCACCUGGACACGGGGACUCCUCGCACCUCUGGUGUUCCUCCUCUCCCUCCCUGCCUGUCCGACAGCCACAGCUCAGCUGAUGUGUUCUCAACCAGCUUCCCAGAGGAAAAGGGACCGUCCUGCCCCGCUGCUGUGGCACUAAGACCUUGGCACUUGCCUUUUGGUGGGCAGUUUGCGUGGUGUGAGCAGCCGGGCUCUGCCGGGCAGCCUUUCCCUUCCUGGUGACUCAAGUCCUGCAAACCACCCAGGACUUGUGGCCACAGUCCCCGAGCAGCUGCUGGACUCGUUCCCUCUGCCUGCAGUCCCGGGAGCUGGGGGAUCCUGGCAGCCAGGCUGCCGUCUGCUCCCCGGGAGGUGUUUGCUCUCAGAUGCACAAAAGUUGAUUCUGUAGUUCAGCACCCCAGACCCCUCUCCCCACCCUCUGCUGACGCUGUUGGAGAAGCACCACGGGGGUUGAGCAGUGAUGCUGGCACAGGGAGGUUAUUUUGUGGCUUGAAGUGAGGUGGGCAGGACCUUCCAGGAGGUUCUGCUUGCUGCCUUGUGCCUCUCUCCACAGGGAGGCCCCCUGCUCCAGCCUCCUGCUUCAGCACCCCUGGAUAACCCCGGCUGCUUUCCCAGCAAGGUGUGUGUCCCUCAGCACUGCCUGUGCCUGCUCUCCUCUCUCCCCUCUUUCCUCUCCCCUUUCUCCUCUCCCUUCUCUCCUCUCUCCCUGCCUUCUGCCUUACACGAGUUGCUCUCAUCAGGGUUGUGCACAAAGCUCAGGUCCCCACGCCUCUGCUUCUGGACCUGUCCCUGCACCCAGGUGACAGUGGGGUCCCCUCCUGCCAUGUGGGCCAUGCUGGUACUGGGGAGAGCUCGGGGAGCCCACCCAGCUGCCCUCCUCUGCCUCCUCCCUCCCUGUGGGAUGAGAGGCAGGGCCAGGUCCCCAGGAGAUGCUCUGCAAGCCAGACAGAGGGAACUGGGGCACAGGGAAAGUCACCAGGAGGGUCCUGGGGCGCCCAGAAGUCCAGGUGGGGGCUCAAAAACACCCAUGGAGAAACCCAGGGAGCAGGGAGAGGUGCCUGGAGGGCUCUGGGCUCACUGAGACUCAAUUCCCUGAGAAGGAGAACUUUGGGGUACAGUGAACAUGCUCAGAGGCCUCAAGCACCCUAAGAGGCACGUGGAAGGCUCUGGGGCUGCUCUCACUCACACACAGGAAGGGAGGUGUGGGAAAAACCAAAUGCCACUCAGUACCACUCCAGAAAGAGCACCUGGAGGGCUCUGUUGGGAGGAGCUGGGGCUCAGGGAUGCAGCACAAGGCAGGCAGGGGCUCCUGGGGCACAGCCACAGCCUCCUCCAUGCCCAGGGGAUUCCUGGGAACAGCAGGAGUGAGGCUGUGCCCACGGAGCUCUGCCUUUCUCAAGCAGAGAAACCCAGAUGCGUCCCAGGGGACAAGCAGCAGCCUCUGUCCCACUCUGCUGGCCAUCCCACGCUUUGGAAACAUUUCCCUUGGUGUCAGCACAGCUGGGGAAACCUCAGCAGCUCCUUCCUUCCAAAGGCUGUUUUCCUGCCCUGCUUGUGGCAGUUCUGCCCAGGUGCUGGAGUGUUUGGUUUUUGCAGUGUGUGCUCUGUGGCAGCUGCCAUCCUGUGCUGCUGCUGGCAGCAUCUGAACCUCCCAAACUGCCACAGAGAGGAGCGAGGCUGCCUCUCAGCAGCCUUUUCCUCAGGAUUUUCCUUCUGGAUAACACUGACAUGUCUGGAGCAUGCAAGUGGCUGCACGUGUCAGCCCUGGACACACCUGGGCCAGCACGGAGCUGGUGGUGGCCAGGCUGGGUUUGCCUGAUCCCUCCCCCUCAGGGGAUGCAGGAAUUUGGCCCACCAGCCCCGAGGAAGUGCAGCAGCUCCCAUGGAUCCCUUGGGAAAGCCCACAGCCACCUGCUUCUCCAGCACCGCCCUUUUCCCUGUUCUCCCUCCCUGUCCAUGAGUGUAAAUACAACACAGUCUAGUU